This is a long non-coding RNA of Meriones unguiculatus (Mongolian gerbil), 472 nucleotides long. RefSeq lists it as uncharacterized. NCBI's taxonomy places the organism in Eukaryota, Metazoa, Chordata, Mammalia, Rodentia, Muridae. The transcript is spliced from 3 exons. The record is from RefSeq and is a predicted model, not a curated record.
UCACAAUCAUCUGGAACUCAGUCCCAGGGGAUCUGAUGCCUCCUGUCGAUUCUACCGGCACCUCAAGUGCGUGGAACACGUACUGACAAGCAAGAACGCACACCUACUUACAAGCAAAAGUGUCGAUCAAGGUCAUCUUAGACUUUCACCGAGCCUGUCUCCGGAGGGUCUGGGCCGCAGAUAGUUAAUGUGUUACACAGGAUUCUCUAGAGGAACAGAACUGAUGAGACGUUUCCUCCAGCGCCUGCUUCCGCCUGAACAGCCCAGGCCUGUGAGCCGGCGUUGACCUUUCCUCCCCUUCAGCGGUUCGUCUCAGCGCUUUGUGACGGUGUCGCGGAGUUAUCCAAGGACGCUUCUAAGUGUGGGUUGAUGCGUGUAGGCGUACGCCGACACCAUUUGUUUUUACAUAUUUAAGUCAAAUUCACUAACUGAUACUGAAAAAACGGCAAACAGCAACCAAGCAAAACACUAA